UCAUAAAAACCAAAACCGGACAAACAUUAGACUACUCAGUUGCUCCCUAACAGUAUAACUUUGCAAUGAGUACUUUUUCUCAUUCAAUCAAACAAAGAGUAAAACCUAAUUAUAUUAUUCUAUUAUUCCCCGAGUGUGUAAAUUUGCAACGUAUCGAUGUCAACGUUCACAAAAACCAAAACCGGACAAACAUUAGACUACUCAGUUGCGCCCUAACAGUAUAACUUUACAACGAGUACUUUUUCUCCUUCAACCGAACAAAGAGUAAAACCUAAUUAUAUUGUUCCAUUAUGCCCCGAGAGUGUAAAUUUGCAACGUAUCGAUGUCAAUGUUCACAAGAACCAAAAUCGGAAAAAUAUUAGACUACUCAGUUGCUCUAUAACAGUAUAACUUUGCAAUGAGUACUUUUUCUCAUUCAAUCAAACAAAGAGUAAAACCUAAUUAUAUUAUUAUAUUAUGCCCCGAGUGUGUAAAUUUGCAACGUAUCGAUGUCAACGUUCACAAAAACAAGAACGGAACAAACAUUAGACUACUCAAUUGCGCUCUAACAGUAUAACUUUACAACUAGUUCUUUUUCUCCUUCAACCGAACAAAGAGUAAAACCUAAUUAUAUUGUUCCAUUAUGCCCCGAGAGUGUAAAUUUGCAACGUAUUGACGUCAAUGUUCACAAGAACCAAAAUCGGUGAAAUAAUAGACUACUCAGUUGCUCCCUAACAGUGUAACUUUGCAAUGAGUACUUUUUUUAUUCAAUCAAACAAAUAGUAAAUCCUAAUUAUAUUAUUCUAUUAUGCCCCGAGUGUGUAAAUUUGCAUCGUGUCGAUGUCAACGUUCACAAAAACUAAAACCGGACAAACAUUAGACUGCUCAGUUGCGUCCUAUAACUUUACAACGAGUACUUUUUCUCAUUCAACCGAACAACGAGUAAAACCUAAUUAUAUU
Molecule: long non-coding RNA, 939 nt
Filed under: Ananas comosus (pineapple)
Lineage: Eukaryota; Viridiplantae; Streptophyta; Magnoliopsida; Poales; Bromeliaceae
Description: long non-coding RNA (ACOM_LNC040024)
Source: RNAcentral